Molecule: unclassified non-coding RNA, 253 nt
Filed under: uncultured Paracoccaceae bacterium
Lineage: Bacteria; Pseudomonadati; Pseudomonadota; Alphaproteobacteria; Rhodobacterales; Paracoccaceae
Description: uncultured Rhodobacteraceae bacterium contains 16S-23S intergenic spacer region
Rfam family: Bacterial small subunit ribosomal RNA
Source: RNAcentral
UACGGAGGGGGUUAGCGUUGUUCGGAAUGACUGGGCGUAAAGCGCGCGUAGGCGGAUCAGUAAGAUGGGGGUGAAAUCCCGAGGCUCAACCUCGGAAUGGCCUUCAAAACUCCUGGUCUUGAGUUCGAGAGAGGUGAGUGGAAUUCCGAGUGUAGAGGUGAAAUUCGUAGAUAUUCGGAGGAACACCAGUGGCGAAGGCGGCUCACUGGCUCGACACUGACGCUGGGGUGCGAAAGCGUGGGGAGCAAACAGG